CCACGUGUCACCUUCUUAUUGGUCGCCAAAAUAUGCAUUCCCACAAAUGCCCUCUAGCUUCUGCAUGGUGCUUGUGAGGCUUGGAGGAGAUGAGAAAUAUUUAUCGAGCUUUCCAACUGCAUCUCAGCUUCCUUCUGUGAGUUGAGUACUUUUCAUGAGUUGGGCUCCUAAUUGGAGUAGGCUUUUGACUUCUUCUUGGAGUUGGGCUCCUAAUUGGAAUAGGCUUGAGACAACUUAUUGACUUGAGAUGCCCAACCUUUAUAAAUACAAGGUUUCUCUUCGCUCCUCUUCAAAUUGCAAACUUGAUUUCCUCUACUUUAUAACUUGUAAGAGAAAUCUUAGAGGAGUGCACUAUUUAUCAAGGAGAGGAGUAUUUGUGCACACCAAAAUAGGUCACGCUUAGAUUUUUAUGUUUAUCUAAUUUUUUUUUUUCAAGGUGAGGACCAGCUAGUGUGGUCCCGGCUAGUUGUUGUCAUGAUCGGGUGCGACGACGGCAGCUAGCAACAGCUAGCAACAGUUGCCGUGAUUAUUUAUGCUCUUCUCGGUGAGGACCGGCAGACCUUAGUUGGCCAGUUGUCGUUGUGAUGCUGAGGUUGGAGCGACGGAAUGGUGGCUGCGCGACCGUGGUUGUUGCCCCUUUUUUUUUCUUUUUUUUGUGCUGUGCUCUUCACUAGCUAGGCUUCCGAAUCGCGUCUUUUGAUGCUAUUUGGCCUUGAGGGACUUUGAUUUUAUGUUUCUUUUUGCCUAGAAACAUUUGUUUGUCGAACUGUCAAUCAAGGUUGUUGAUUGGACAGAAUCAUAUUUGAAUACAUGGUCAGAUUAAACGUUUGACAACAUAAUAUUUCAAACUAUUUUAAAGAAUGUUACUUUCUUUUUUAAACCAGCACUAUUGGGAAAAUCUCUUCAAAUGAGAGAGAGAGAGAGAGAGAGAGAGAGAGAGAGAGAGAGAGAGGGCGGAUAUGUGCAUCUUUCCUGUGAAUUAAAGUCCAAGUUACAAGUUGUUUUGUUGUAGAUAUAUUUCCAAGUUCCUUGCCCCACAUGAAGACAUUAAAAAUGUAGCGUAGCACAAAAAGAAAAAUGCUAGGAAGAACAUAUAGUAUAUCACGGGCACACAUUUUGAUAUUGUCUCCGAUGACGCAGCCAAAACAUCACUCUAAGAGUACUUCCACUUAUUUGUUAUGGUCAAGGGGAGGCAAGGGCAGAUACUAUUCAUGUGAAUAGUGUCAGCCCUUGCAAAAGGCAAGGUGUAUU
RNAcentral lists this long non-coding RNA (1251 nucleotides) under Prunus persica (peach). Its description in RNAcentral is "long non-coding RNA (PPER_LNC002510)". Lineage: Eukaryota; Viridiplantae; Streptophyta; Magnoliopsida; Rosales; Rosaceae. The record is from RNAcentral.